Molecule: ribosomal RNA, 466 nt
Filed under: Escherichia coli
Lineage: Bacteria; Pseudomonadati; Pseudomonadota; Gammaproteobacteria; Enterobacterales; Enterobacteriaceae
Description: partial 16S ribosomal RNA
Rfam family: Bacterial small subunit ribosomal RNA
Source: RNAcentral
CGGGGGGGAAAUUGCCAAAUGGGGCCGCAAGCCCUGUAUGCAGCCAUGCCCGCGUGUAUGAAAGAAGGCCUUCGGGUUGUAAAGUUACUUUCAGCGGGGAAGGAAGGGAGUAAAGUUAAUACCUUUGCUCAUUGACGUUACCCGCAAAAAAAGCACCGGCUAACUCCGUGCCAGCAGCCGCGGUAAUACGGAGGGUGCAAGCGUUAAUCGGAAUUACUGGGCGUAAAGCGCACGCAGGCGGUUUGUUAAGUCAGAUGUGAAAUCCCCGGGCUCAACCUGGGAACUGCAUCUGAUACUGGCAAGCUUGAGUCUCGUAGAGGGGGGUAGAAUUCCGGGUGUAGCGGUGAAAUGCGUAGAGAUCUGGAGGAAUACCGGUGGCAAAGGCGGCCCCCUGGACAAAAACUGACGCUCAGGUGCAAAAGCGUGGGGAGCAAACAGAAUUAGAUACCCUGGUAACUCCACGAAA